This 3011-nucleotide ribosomal RNA is filed under the name Salmonella enterica subsp. enterica serovar Typhimurium. RNAcentral's name for it is "23S ribosomal RNA". It matches the Rfam family "Bacterial large subunit ribosomal RNA". Lineage: Bacteria; Pseudomonadati; Pseudomonadota; Gammaproteobacteria; Enterobacterales; Enterobacteriaceae. The record is from RNAcentral. RNAcentral also lists the same sequence under 1 other name.
GGGUUGUGAGGUUAAGCGACUAAGCGUACACGGUGGAUGCCCUGGCAGUCAGAGGCGAUGAAGGGCGUGCUAAUCUGCGAUAAGCGCCGGUAAGGUGAUAUGAACCGUUAUAACCGGCGAUACCCGAAUGGGGAAACCCAGUGUGAUUCGUCACACUAUCAUUAACUGAAUCCAUAGGUUAAUGAGGCGAACCGGGGGAACUGAAACAUCUAAGUACCCCGAGGAAAAGAAAUCAACCGAGAUUCCCCCAGUAGCGGCGAGCGAACGGGGAGGAGCCCAGAGCCUGAAUCAGCAUGUGUGUUAGUGGAAGCGUCUGGAAAGGCGCGCGAUACAGGGUGACAGCCCCGUACACAAAAGCGCAUGUGCUGUGAGCUCGAUGAGUAGGGCGGGACACGUGGUAUCCUGUCUGAAUAUGGGGGGACCAUCCUCCAAGGCUAAAUACUCCUGACUGACCGAUAGUGAACCAGUACCGUGAGGGAAAGGCGAAAAGAACCCCGGCGAGGGGAGUGAAAAAGAACCUGAAACCGUGUACGUACAAGCAGUGGGAGCACCCUUCGGGGUGUGACUGCGUACCUUUUGUAUAAUGGGUCAGCGACUUAUAUUCUGUAGCAAGGUUAACCGUAUAGGGGAGCCGGAGGGAAACCGAGUCUUAAUUGGGCGUUAAGUUGCAGGGUAUAGACCCGAAACCCGGUGAUCUAGCCAUGGGCAGGUUGAAGGUUGGGUAACACUAACUGGAGGACCGAACCGACUAAUGUUGAAAAAUUAGCGGAUGACCUGUGGCUGGGGGUGAAAGGCCAAUCAAACCGGGAGAUAGCUGGUUCUCCCCGAAAGCUAUUUAGGUAGCGCCUCGUGAAUUCAUCUCCGGGGGUAGAGCACUGUUUCGGCUAGGGGGCCAUCCCGGCUUACCAACCCGAUGCAAACUGCGAAUACCGGAGAAUGUUAUCACGGGAGACACACGGCGGGUGCUAACGUCCGUCGUGAAGAGGGAAACAACCCAGACCGCCAGCUAAGGUCCCAAAGUCAUGGUUAAGUGGGAAACGAUGUGGGAAGGCCCAGACAGCCAGGAUGUUGGCUUAGAAGCAGCCAUCAUUUAAAGAAAGCGUAAUAGCUCACUGGUCGAGUCGGCCUGCGCGGAAGAUGUAACGGGGCUAAACCAUGCACCGAAGCUGCGGCAGCGAACGUAUCACCCAAGACAACUUUACGGAGUUGACGAUUGACGGAGCGAAGCGACGUCAAAGCGUUCAUUAAAGUCGAGUUGGCUUAGGGAUACGUUCGUUGGGUAGGGGAGCGUUCUGUAAGCCUGUGAAGGUGUGUCGUGAGGCAUGCUGGAGGUAUCAGAAGUGCGAAUGCUGACAUAAGUAACGAUAAAGCGGGUGAAAAGCCCGCUCGCCGGAAGACCAAGGGUUCCUGUCCAACGUUAAUCGGGGCAGGGUGAGUCGACCCCUAAGGCGAGGCCGAAAGGCGUAGUCGAUGGGAAACGGGUUAAUAUUCCCGUACUUGGUGUUACUGCGAAGGGGGGACGGAGAAGGCUAUGUUGGCCGGGCGACGGUUGUCCCGGUUUAAGCGUGUAGGUGUGUGUUCCAGGUAAAUCCGGUUCACUUUAACACUGAGGCGUGACGACGAGGCACUACGGUGCUGAAGCAACAAAUGCCCUGCUUCCAGGAAAAGCCUCUAAGCAUCAGGUAACACGAAAUCGUACCCCAAACCGACACAGGUGGUCAGGUAGAGAAUACCAAGGCGCUUGAGAGAACUCGGGUGAAGGAACUAGGCAAAAUGGUGCCGUAACUUCGGGAGAAGGCACGCUGACACGUAGGUGAAGUGAUUUACUCACGGAGCUGAAGUCAGUCGAAGAUACCAGCUGGCUGCAACUGUUUAUUAAAAACACAGCACUGUGCAAACACGAAAGUGGACGUAUACGGUGUGACGCCUGCCCGGUGCCGGAAGGUUAAUUGAUGGGGUCAGCGUAAGCGAAGCUCCUGAUCGAAGCCCCGGUAAACGGCGGCCGUAACUAUAACGGUCCUAAGGUAGCGAAAUUCCUUGUCGGGUAAGUUCCGACCUGCACGAAUGGCGUAAUGAUGGCCAGGCUGUCUCCACCCGAGACUCAGUGAAAUUGAACUCGCUGUGAAGAUGCAGUGUACCCGCGGCAAGACGGAAAGACCCCGUGAACCUUUACUAUAGCUUGACACUGAACAUUGAGCCUUGAUGUGUAGGAUAGGUGGGAGGCUUUGAAGUGUGGACGCCAGUCUGCAUGGAGCCGACCUUGAAAUACCACCCUUUAAUGUUUGAUGUUCUAACGUGGACCCGUAAUCCGGGUUGCGGACAGUGUCUGGUGGGUAGUUUGACUGGGGCGGUCUCCUCCUAAAGAGUAACGGAGGAGCACGAAGGUUGGCUAAUCCUGGUCGGACAUCAGGAGGUUAGUGCAAUGGCAUAAGCCAGCUUGACUGCGAGCGUGACGGCGCGAGCAGGUGCGAAAGCAGGUCAUAGUGAUCCGGUGGUUCUGAAUGGAAGGGCCAUCGCUCAACGGAUAAAAGGUACUCCGGGGAUAACAGGCUGAUACCGCCCAAGAGUUCAUAUCGACGGCGGUGUUUGGCACCUCGAUGUCGGCUCAUCACAUCCUGGGGCUGAAGUAGGUCCCAAGGGUAUGGCUGUUCGCCAUUUAAAGUGGUACGCGAGCUGGGUUUAGAACGUCGUGAGACAGUUCGGUCCCUAUCUGCCGUGGGCGCUGGAGAACUGAGGGGGGCUGCUCCUAGUACGAGAGGACCGGAGUGGACGCAUCACUGGUGUUCGGGUUGUCAUGCCAAUGGCACUGCCCGGUAGCUAAAUGCGGAAGAGAUAAGUGCUGAAAGCAUCUAAGCACGAAACUUGCCCCGAGAUGAGUUCUCCCUGAGACUUAGAGUCUCCUGAAGGAACGUUGAAGACGACGACGUUGAUAGGCCGGGUGUGUAAGCGCAGCGAUGCGUUGAGCUAACCGGUACUAAUGAACCGUGAGGCUUAACCUUACAACGCCGAAG